CCUACGGGAGGCAGCAGUGGGGAAUUUUGGACAAUGGGCGCAAGCCUGAUCCAGCAAUGCCGCGUGAGUGAAGAAGGCCUUCGGGUUGUAAAGCUCUUUUGUCAGGGAAGAAACGGUCUACUCUAAUACAGUGGGCUAAUGACGGUACCUGAAGAAUAAGCACCGGCUAACUACGUGCCAGCAGCCGCGGUAAUACGUAGGGUGCAAGCGUUAAUCGGAAUUACUGGGCGUAAAGCGUGCGCAGGCGGUUAUAUAAGUCAGAUGUGAAAUCCCCGGGCUCAACCUGGGAACUGCAUUUGAGACUGUAUGGCUAGAGUGUGUCAGAGGGGGGUAGAAUUCCACGUGUAGCAGUGAAAUGCGUAGAUAUGUGGAGGAAUACCGAUGGCGAAGGCAGCCCCCUGGGAUAACACUGACGCUCAUGCACGAAAGCGUGGGGAGCAAACAGGAUUAGAUACCCUGGUAGUCCACGCCCUAAACCGAUGUCUACUAGUUGUCGGGCUUAAUUGUCUUGGUAACGCAGCUAACGCGUGAAGUAGACCGCCUGGGGNGGUACGGUCGCGAGAGUAAACUAACGAAUAGAGUAGAGGCGNGAGAGUAGACGACGGACGACGACGAGGGAGGAGG
This 624-nucleotide ribosomal RNA is filed under the name uncultured bacterium. Its description in RNAcentral is "bacterial SSU rRNA". The stretch from base 1 to 542 matches the Rfam family "Bacterial small subunit ribosomal RNA", at positions 338 to 873 of the family's 1533-position model. The record is from RNAcentral.